AAACCAGGUGAUCUACCCAUGUCCAGGGUGAAGUUCAGGUAACACUGAAUGGAGGCCCGAACCCACGCACGUUGAAAAGUGCGGGGAUGAGGUGUGGGUAGGGGUGAAAUGCCAAUCGAACCUGGAGAUAGCUGGUUCUCUCCGAAAUAGCUUUAGGGCUAGCCUCAAGGUAAGAGUCUUGGAGGUAGAGCACUGAUUGGACUAGGGGCCCCUACCGGGUUACCGAAUUCAGUCAAACUCCGAAUGCCAAAGACUUAUCCUUGGGAGUCAGACUGCGAGUGAUAAGAUCCGUAGUCGAAAGGGAAACAGCCCAGACCGCCAGC
Molecule: ribosomal RNA, 323 nt
Filed under: Bacillus licheniformis
Lineage: Bacteria; Bacillati; Bacillota; Bacilli; Caryophanales; Bacillaceae
Description: bacterial LSU rRNA
Rfam family: Bacterial large subunit ribosomal RNA
Source: RNAcentral